AUGCUCAUUUAACUAUCUCCUCCAGAACCUCCUCCCACAGGAACUUGCUACAUGUGCCGGAAAUCUGACCACUGGGCCAAGGAAUGCCCGCGGCCCAGGAUUCCUCCUAAGCCGUGUCCCAUCUGUGUGGGACCCCACUGAAAAUCAGACUGUUCAACUCACCUGGCAGCCACUCCCAGAGCCCUUGAAACUCUGGCCCAAGGCUCUCUGACUGACUCCUUCCCAGAUCUUCUCGGCUUAGCAGCUGAAGACUGAUGCUUCCCGAUCGCCUCGGAAGCCCCCUAGACCAUCACGGAUGCCGAGCUUCGGGUAACUCUCACAGUGGAAGGUAAGCCCAUCCCCUUCUUAAUCAAUACGGAGGCUACCCACUCCAUAUUACCUUCUUUUCAAGGGCCUAUUUCCCUUGCCUCCAUAACUGUUGUAGGUAUUGACGGCCAGGCUUCUAAAUCUCUUAAAACUCCCC
Molecule: long non-coding RNA, 463 nt
Filed under: Homo sapiens (human)
Lineage: Eukaryota; Metazoa; Chordata; Mammalia; Primates; Hominidae
Description: HSALNT0343191
Source: RNAcentral